GACGAACGCUGGCGGCGUGCUUAACACAUGCAAGUCGAACGGAGCACCCUUGACUGAGGUUUCGGCCAAAUGAUAGGAAUGCUUAGUGGCGGACUGGUGAGUAACGCGUGAGGAACCUGCCUUCCAGAGGGGGACAACAGUUGGAAACGACUGCUAAUACCGCAUGACGCAUGACCGGGGCAUCCCGGGCAUGUCAAAGAUUUUAUCGCUGGAAGAUGGCCUCGCGUCUGAUUAGCUAGAUGGUGGGGUAACGGCCCACCAUGGCGACGAUCAGUAGCCGGACUGAGAGGUUGACCGGCCACAUUGGGACUGAGAUACGGCCCAGACUCCUACGGGAGGCAGCAGUGGGGAAUAUUGGGCAAUGGACGCAAGUCUGACCCAGCAACGCCGCGUGAAGGAAGAAGGCUUUCGGGUUGUAAACUU
Molecule: ribosomal RNA, 423 nt
Filed under: uncultured bacterium
Lineage: Bacteria
Description: bacterial SSU rRNA
Rfam family: Bacterial small subunit ribosomal RNA
Source: RNAcentral